ACCUCUUCUUGGCCUUUCAACUAAGAUCAAGUGUAGUAUCUGUUCUUAUCAAGUUAAUAUCUGAUAUGUCCUUUAUCCGAAGACAAUCUAGUAAAUGGAUUUUUGGAGAUUCUUUAGUCCACCCCAAACAGGGACCUGGUAACGCAAUACCUCUAGGAACUGUGCACCCACU
This 172-nucleotide small nuclear RNA is filed under the name Suricata suricatta (meerkat). RNAcentral describes it as "U2 spliceosomal RNA (ENSSSUG00005004466.1)". It matches the Rfam family "U2 spliceosomal RNA". Rfam says of the family: U2 is a small nuclear RNA (snRNA) component of the spliceosome (involved in pre-mRNA splicing). Complementary binding between U2 snRNA (in an area lying towards the 5' end but 3' to hairpin I) and the branchpoint sequence (BPS) of the intron results the bulging out of an unpaired adenosine, on the BPS, which initiates a nucleophilic attack at the intronic 5' splice site, thus starting the first of two transesterification reactions that mediate splicing. Lineage: Eukaryota; Metazoa; Chordata; Mammalia; Carnivora; Herpestidae. The record is from Rfam by way of RNAcentral.